GCGGAAAUAGCUCAGUUGGUAGAGCAUUGGCUUCCCAAGCCAAGGGUCGCGGGUUCGAGUCCCGUUUUCCGCU
RNAcentral lists this transfer RNA (73 nucleotides) under Tidjanibacter sp. RNAcentral describes it as "tRNA-Gly". It matches the Rfam family "tRNA". Rfam says of the family: Transfer RNA (tRNA) molecules are approximately 80 nucleotides in length. Lineage: Bacteria; Pseudomonadati; Bacteroidota; Bacteroidia; Bacteroidales; Rikenellaceae. The record is from RNAcentral.